CGGAAACGUUGAAAUUUCCGAGCAGCUUGGUAAACUCUGCGCAAAAUCCUACAGGUCUGUCUCGAAACCGGAUGGUACGAAUGCGAAACGAAUUUCGCGAUUCGAAAUACUUUUUAUCACAAAUUCGACCGUGGAUCUUAUCCGCUUCUCGGCCUUGUCAUGAUUCAGGGCUUAUAAUCAAUUGUGAAACGAGAACACGGCUGGAUUCGAGGCAAGUGCAUUCGACUUUCCAAGUCCGUUUGUGACAAGCCUAUGCACCUGGCAACUUUGGAAACCGUAUUCAUUACUCAUUAUCUACGAUGACGGAUCAGCGAGUCAAGUUACAAAAAAUAAAGGAUUUAACCAAUAUUUUAAAGGACACUGACAGAAACCUGACCAUAUGUGAGGAGAUUCUUUCAGCUUUUAUGGAAAAAAGAUUGCAGCAAAAAACUGAAGCAAUACAACGGCGGACAGACCUGGAAGCGAAAAUGACGGAGAUUUUGGACAACUUGAAAACCCGACUAUUGAUGGUCGAUAACUAGAUAAAAAUUUCUAAAUUCAAGAAAGAAUGUCUGAAUCCGAUGUUACUGAGAACAGUGAUUUUCUGUGCGAAUUGCAUGGAGAAUAAACUUGAUUGUUAAAGAUAUCGGAUCCGUUAUUAAAGUAAAACGAGCCGGGGUGAUCGACACGGCGAAAAUGUACGCCACACAAACUAGGGCUCACCUAUUAUUUCGAUGUAAGAGAUACAAUUGCACGUGUGCCAGAUGAAUUUUUGUGUGAGUUUUUAUUCAAGUUUCAAGAAAUAAAACCGUCAGCAAUGUUUCCUGAACACCAACUCCUUUAAUUAUUCUUAAAAUUAUAGAUCCGCUUGAGAAAUGCGCGUAUUAUGCAUGCUUAGGUAAUCGCGAUAGACUUCAAGGCUAUGCAAGAAUGGUUUGAGAAUUUUAAUCUUGCAAUAAAUGUUUAUAGGGUCUGGUUCUCGUGAGGGUCCUCCGUGUUUUAUACGUACUAUAUAAUGAAAAAAUUGGGCGAAAACUUUUCGAGAGAAUUAUAUUUCUGUCGUGAAAUCGACUUCGUGAUCAGCUUUUCGCGAACAGGUAUAAUAACAUCAAUAAUGGUACCAGCACACAACGAAUGCUUUUACAACUGUGCAAACGUGAUCGACGAGUUAGACUAUGCACGUCAUGAAUUUAGCGCCACCUCUUUGGGUCUGAUGUUUCGCUGAUAUGAAAAGUCAAAAAUGGGCUUAGAAAAGCCAUAUCUAUUCAACGAUGGAUGAUAUGAGAUUCGAAAGGACGUGAUAUGGCAUAACUAAUUAAAAAGGCCUUCCGAGUCCUGGUACAUCAACGCGAUAUGGUUGGCUGUGGAACUAUGGAUACUUUCAACGCGUCUCUUUAUGGAGCAGAUGUACGAUCAUCAUUUUGAGUAGAGGGAAAUUGAAUCCAUUUUGUAAGUUUUCAAUCAAUUUAGUCCACAAAGAUUGUUCGUAGUAUCAUUAGUCUUGAACACGAUAACGAUGAAUUGAUUUUUCAGAAUAAAGAUCAACGGAGAUAGCGAUCAUAGAAAUCAUCGGUCCGCUGAUGAUUUUGAAUUAUUAUUCUGUUCUGAUUUGCCAGAAGGGGGAUGGGCAGGCUACGGAACAUUUCAUCACCGUGUCUGGGGUGUUUCAUCACACGCAUCAUCUCUCAUUAAAAAAAAAUCUUGUCCUUGCAAGAACAAAUAUGACAGUACCUUGAAGGUAAAUGACACGAUUGUAUUUCCGAAGACAUUGUAACUGACGCUGUAUCCAUGCGAACAAACUUUUGUGUAAAUUGAAACGAUAAUAAAAGUUUACCGCCGAUGAUAUGAGCUGAGAGUUCGAGUCGCAUUAAUUACAUCCCAAUCACAUCAUCCCUUAGAAUCCCUCACAUUAAGCGAUCCAUCGCAUCGCGUUGCACGUCAUGACGUAUACAUAAUGCUCUGACAUAGGUGGCUCUCUUUCUUUAAUUUUUUUCACGAUUAAU
RNAcentral lists this unclassified non-coding RNA (1982 nucleotides) under Athalia rosae (coleseed sawfly). RNAcentral describes it as "misc RNA ENSAEAG00005010285.1". Lineage: Eukaryota; Metazoa; Arthropoda; Insecta; Hymenoptera; Athaliidae. The record is from RNAcentral.